AAGCCUACGGGGCGCAGCAGUGGGGAAUAUUGCACAAUGGGGGAAACCCUGAUGCAGCAACGCCGCGUGAGUGAAGAAGUCAUUCGUGAUGUAAAGCUCUAUCAGCAGGGAAGAAAAUGACGGUACCUGAGUAAGAAGCCCCGGCUAACUACGUGCCAGCAGCCGCGGUAAUACGUAGGGGGCAAGCGUUAUCCGGAAUCACUGGGUGUAAAGGGAGCGUAGACGGCUGAGCAAGCCUGAAGUGAAAGGCGGGGGCCCAACCCCCGGACUGCUUUGGG
RNAcentral lists this ribosomal RNA (278 nucleotides) under uncultured bacterium. RNAcentral's name for it is "partial 16S ribosomal RNA". It matches the Rfam family "Bacterial small subunit ribosomal RNA", at positions 335 to 630 of the family's 1533-position model. The record is from RNAcentral.